RNAcentral lists this long non-coding RNA (1113 nucleotides) under Anas platyrhynchos (mallard). Its description in RNAcentral is "lncRNA (ENSAPLG00020013343.1)". The record is from RNAcentral. Lineage: Eukaryota; Metazoa; Chordata; Aves; Anseriformes; Anatidae.
UGCCCGCGGUGCAGCCCCCGUCCCUGCCUCCUCUGCCCCUGAACGAGCCGCUGGGCAAUGCGGGGAGGGCAGCGAACUGGGGGAGCGCCCUCACCCCUCCUCGUCCCCUUCCUCCCCCGGCCCACCUGGGCGCCGUCAGCGGCCGCCCAAGCCCCCGGGGACCGUGCCGCGGCUCUCGGCCGUCGUGGCCCGGCACCGGCCGCCUCUCCCGGUCCGUCGGAGGAGGAGGAGGAGGAAGAGGAGGAGGAGGAGCCGUGGACACCUCCCCUGGCACUCGCCGCGCUCCUAGCCGGCAGGCCGGGGGACAGCGCGCAAGGCGGCCGUGCGAACCGCACCGAAGCCCCCGCAGAUUUUUUUGCCCGCAAACCCGCGUUCAGCGAAGCCAAGCCCCCCGGGCCCCCCCGGACCCCCAACCCGUCCUCCCCUUCCCACCGGGGCUCUCGCAGCCGCGCCCCUCCCCGCCUCCAGUCUUGCAGCGCUGCGCACCCGCGGAGCCCCCCGCAGCCCCCGGCACGGCUCGGCACGGCUCGGCACGGCUCGGCACGGCUCGGCAUGGCUCGGCAUGGCUCGGCACGGCUCGGCACGCACUUACUCCGCGGGGCCUCCCGGGUGGAGGCUCGGGCCCGGCGGCUCCCCAGGCGCGUUGCUAGAAAAAAACAGCGAUGGGGUUUUACACUUUUCAUGAUGCAGGCCGACGGGACCACGUUCAAAAGCACGGGAAUUAAAAAAAAAAGGAGGCGAGGAUGCUGGAGGUGGUGAGGGUGAGUACCCUGGGCGGGUACCGCGUGUGCGGAGGAUGCGAACAGCUCUGGGGCCCGAGGUAUGGCCGGGGCAGAGGCUGGGGGCGACCUCCAGGGGCGAUCCAUCAACAGCAGCCCAUCCAGCGUCUCCUGCCCCCUCACUAAUUGCUUUGGCUUUUCUCCCAAUUAGUGCCUGCGCACUUCCUUGCUCCCCCAGCGCGCACCGGAGUGAAAAUGGGGCAGAGAAGUCCUGUGCUGUGAGGGGUAAAAGGGCAACGGUGCAACGGGUCCCCACAUCUACAGAUUUUUUUUUUUCUUUCCCCUUCUGCACAGUGAAGCAGGGUUGGCUGAGAAGUUUAAGUUUUAUUGAAUG